This 458-nucleotide ribosomal RNA is filed under the name uncultured Planctomycetaceae bacterium. RNAcentral's name for it is "bacterial SSU rRNA". It matches the Rfam family "Bacterial small subunit ribosomal RNA", at positions 338 to 795 of the family's 1533-position model. Lineage: Bacteria; Pseudomonadati; Planctomycetota; Planctomycetia; Planctomycetales; Planctomycetaceae. The record is from RNAcentral.
CCUACGGGCGGCUGCAGUCGAGAAUUUUUGGCAAUGGGCGAAAGCCUGACCAAGCGAUGCCGCGUGCGGGAUGAAGGCCUUCGGGUUGUAAACCGCUGUCAGUGGGGAGGAAAGCUUUGUGAAGAGCAGAGCUUGACCUAUCCGCAGAGGAAGUGUGGGCUAAGUUCGUGCCAGCAGCCGCGGUAAGACGAACCACACAAACGUUAUUCGGAAUUACUGGGCUUAAAGGGUGCGUAGGCUGCGCAGUAAGUUGGGUGUGAAAUACCUCGGCUCAACCGAGGAACUGCGCCCAAAACUACUGUGCUUGAGGAAGAUAGAGGUAAGCGGAACUUACGGUGGAGCGGUGAAAUGCGUUGAUAUCGUAAGGAACACCUGUGGCGAAAGCGGCUUACUGGGUCUUUUCUGACGCUGAUGCACGAAAGCUAGGGGAGCAAACGGGAUUAGAUACCCCUGUAGUC